GAUGAACGCUGGCGGCGUGCCUAAUACAUGCAAGUCGUACGGAAAGGCCCUUCGGGGUACUCGAGUGGCGGACGGCUGAGUAACGCGUGGGAACGUGCCCCAAAGUGAGGGAUAACGCACCGAAAGGUGUGCUAAUACCGCAUAUGGUCUUCGGAUUAAAGCUUCGGCGCUUUGGGAGCGGCCCGCGUACGAUUAGAUAGUUGGUGAGGUAAUGGCUCACCAAGUCGAUGAUCGUUAGCUGGUCUGAGGGGAUGAUCAGCCAGACCGGGACUGAGACACGGCCCAGACUCCUACGGGAGGCAGCAGUAAGGAAUCUUCCACAAUGGGGGCAACCCUGAUGGAGCAACGCCGCGUGCAGGAUGAAGGUUUUCGGAUCGUAAACUGCUUUUAUAAGUGAAGAAUAUGACGGUAACUUAUGAAUAAGGAUCGGCUAACUACGUGCCAGCAGCCGCCGUAA
This 457-nucleotide ribosomal RNA is filed under the name uncultured bacterium. RNAcentral describes it as "partial 16S ribosomal RNA". It matches the Rfam family "Bacterial small subunit ribosomal RNA", at positions 28 to 523 of the family's 1533-position model. The record is from RNAcentral.